Molecule: long non-coding RNA, 276 nt
Organism: Mauremys mutica (yellowpond turtle)
Lineage: Eukaryota; Metazoa; Chordata; Testudines; Geoemydidae
Exons: 2
Source: RefSeq, a predicted model, not a curated record
CCCCAGGAGAUUCACCCCCUUGGGUCCUUCUUCUGAUGGGCCCAGUUCUCAACAUGAUACAUGGCCGGGCCUUUCCUUCCCCACCCCCAGGUUGGUCCCUUCCCUCCCUCCCCAAGGCUGCCCCCAGGAAUCCCGUCUGCUCCGUGGGGCUGCUAGCGCGGGAGCAGGCAGAUCUCGUAGCUGCGGGGCAGGGUGGCGAACCCGACCAGCCUCGGGGAGAUGUCGAUGUCCUUGGGCUCCACGGGGGAGCGGAAGCGGAAGUUCUGCAGGAUGCUG